This 333-nucleotide ribosomal RNA is filed under the name Heterosigma akashiwo. Its description in RNAcentral is "partial Bacterial large subunit ribosomal RNA". It matches the Rfam family "Bacterial large subunit ribosomal RNA", at positions 1963 to 2296 of the family's 2925-position model. The record is from RNAcentral. Lineage: Eukaryota; Raphidophyceae; Chattonellales; Chattonellaceae.
AAUUCCUUGUCGGGUAAGUUCCGACCUGCACGAAUGGAGUAACGAUUUCCCUACUGUCUCCACCAUGAACUCGGUGAAAUUGCAUUACGAGUAAAGAUGCUCGUUACGCGCAGCAGGACGGAAAGACCCCGGGACCUUUACUAUAGUUUGGUAUUGGUGAUUGGGACGGUUUGUGUAGGAUAGGUGGGAGACGUUGAUGCGGCCACGCUAGUGGUGGUGGAGUCGUUGGUGAAAUACCACUCUGAUUGUUCUGGUUAUCUCACUGUGGACCGUGAUCCGGUUCAAGGACAGUGCCUGAUGGGUAGUUUGACUGGGGCGGUCGCCUCCUAAAGG